This 485-nucleotide ribosomal RNA is filed under the name uncultured bacterium. RNAcentral describes it as "partial 16S ribosomal RNA". It matches the Rfam family "Bacterial small subunit ribosomal RNA", at positions 28 to 523 of the family's 1533-position model. The record is from RNAcentral.
GACGAACGCUGGCGGCGUGCUUAACACAUGCAAGUCGAACGGUGGAAGCGGAGCUUGCUCCGCUGGAUCAGUGGCGAACGGGUGAGUAACACGUGGGCAACCUGCCCCUCACUUCGGGAUAACUCCGGGAAACCGAGGCUAAUACCGGAUAUGACCUCCUUGGGCAUCCUUGGAGGUGGAAAGUUUUUCGGUGAGGGAUGGGCCCGCGGCCUAUCAGCUUGUUGGUGAGGUAGUGGCUCACCAAGGCGACGACGGGUAGCCGGCCUGAGAGGGCGACCGGCCACACUGGGACUGAGACACGGCCCAGACUCCUACGGGAGGCAGCAGUGGGGAAUAUUGCGCAAGGGGCGAAAGCCUGACGCAGCAACGCCGCGUGCGGGAUGACGGCCUUCGGGUUGUAAACCGCUUUCAGCAGGGAAGAAGCCGCAAGGUGACGGUACCUGCAGAAGAAGCACCGGCUAACUACGUGCCAGCCGCCGCCGUAA